RNAcentral lists this ribosomal RNA (460 nucleotides) under uncultured bacterium. RNAcentral describes it as "partial 16S ribosomal RNA". It matches the Rfam family "Bacterial small subunit ribosomal RNA", at positions 338 to 795 of the family's 1533-position model. The record is from RNAcentral.
CCUACGGGGGGCAGCAGUGAGGAAUAUUGGUCAAUGGACGAGAGUCUGAACCAGCCAAGUAGCGUGAAGGAUGACUGCCCUAUGGGUUGUAAACUUCUUUUAUAUGGGAAUAAAAUGUUCCACGUGUGGGAUUUUGUAUGUACCAUAAGAAAAAGGAUCGGCUAACUCCGUGCCAGCAGCCGCGGUAAUACGGAGGAUCCGAGCGUUAUCCGGAUUUAUUGGGUUUAAAGGGAGCGUAGGUGGAUUGUUAAGUCCGGUGUGAAAGUUGGCGGCUCAACCGUAAGAUUGCAGUUGAAACUGGCAGUCUUGAGUACAGUAGAGGUGUGCGGAAUUCGUGGGGUAGCGGUGAAAUGCGUAGAUAUCACGAAGAACUCCGAUUGCGAAGGCAGUUCACUGGACUGAAACUGACGCUGAGGCUCGAAAGUGUGGGUAUCAAACAGGAUUAGAUACCCGUGUAGUC